Transfer RNA from Micromonas sp., 72 nucleotides. It matches the Rfam family "tRNA". Rfam says of the family: Transfer RNA (tRNA) molecules are approximately 80 nucleotides in length. NCBI's taxonomy places the organism in Eukaryota, Viridiplantae, Chlorophyta, Mamiellophyceae, Mamiellales, Mamiellaceae. The record is from Rfam.
GGCGGUGUAGCCAAGUGGUAAGGCAGAGGACUGCAAAUCCUUUAUCCCCCAGUUCGAAUCUGGGCACCGCCU